GGGGCCGCCAUGGUUUCGACGGGGGUUGCAAAGCGGAUGAGGGCAUGCCGGGAUCUCAGUCACCCCGUAAAACGCUGAAUCGUAAUAGUCGCAAACGACGAAACUUACGCUCUGGCUGCUUAACCAGCCGGACGCUGCACCGAUCUUCUGAUGGGUCGGGCGGGGUAAAACCCGCAGCAGCGUCAUUUCACAUCAGAUCGCUCCCGGCCGGGUGACUUGGCUGGGGGUUAAAUCCAAGGUCACUCGCCUGUUGCAAGCCUGCCGGUCGGCGUGCACCAGGUUAAAACCCAGUUGACCAGGCUAAGCAUGUAGAACUCUUCGUGGAGGACUUUCGGACGCGGGUUCGACUCCCGCCGGCUCCACCA
RNAcentral lists this transfer-messenger RNA (365 nucleotides) under Chitiniphilus shinanonensis. RNAcentral's name for it is "Standard tmRNA". It matches the Rfam family "transfer-messenger RNA". Rfam says of the family: Bacterial tmRNA, also known as 10Sa RNA or SsrA, is named for its dual tRNA and mRNA-like properties. Lineage: Bacteria; Pseudomonadati; Pseudomonadota; Betaproteobacteria; Neisseriales; Chitinibacteraceae. The record is from RNAcentral.